RNAcentral lists this ribosomal RNA (392 nucleotides) under uncultured bacterium. RNAcentral's name for it is "partial 16S ribosomal RNA". It matches the Rfam family "Bacterial small subunit ribosomal RNA", at positions 523 to 918 of the family's 1533-position model. The record is from RNAcentral.
AUACGGAGGAUGCGAGCGUUAUCCGGAUUUAUUGGGUUUAAAGGGUGCGCAGGCGGCCAUUUAAGUCAGCGGUUAAAUCGUGGGGCUCAACCCCAUUCUGCCGUUGAUACUGGGUGGCUUGAUUGCGGUCGAGGUUGGCGGAAUUCGUUGUGUAGCGGGGAAAUGCAUAGAUAUGACGAAGAACACCGAUUGCGUAGGCAGCUGACCAGACCGCAAAUGACGCUCAUGCACGAAAGUGCGGGGAUCGAACAGGAUUAGAUACCCUGGUAGUCCGCACAGUAAACGAUGAAUACUUGUUUUCGGCGAUAUAAUGUCGGAGGCAAAGCGAAAGCGAUAAGUAUUCCACCUGGGGAGUACGCCGGCAACGGUGAAACUCAAAUGAAUUGACGGGG